AAUGCAACACAUCAAGGUCACACAGCCGGCAAGAGCUGAAAGGGACUUUGAGCCCAGGUUAAUAGACUCCAAAGCCAGUGCUCUUCACCCGCCAGCCCUGACUCUGCUGAGGUUUUCCUCUCCACCUCAGCUGACUGCAGCCCUGCUGGGUGUGUCUCCUACUGUGCUUUAAUCUCUCCACCUCCCCCGCUCCCUGGGGAGGUUCAGGGUGAUGGAAUUCCCUCCCCGGAGGCUGGAUGCAUCCUCAGGGCCCCCAAUGUCCACUGCUGUGACAUUUACGGAUGCAUAGCUCCCUUCCUGGAGCCAAAGAGCACUCAUUGUCUGGUCACAGGAAAAACACACCACGUGUCCCCCGACACUCAAAGAUGAGUCCUUGACUGCCUGGACGUGCUCCAGGUGUACCCAUGGACUUUGGUUGAACUGACCACACCUUGUCUCUUGGCCAGAGGUAAAUUCUAGGGCCAUCUCUCUGCAUAGUGACCGGGUCCAGCUGCAGGGCGGGAGUGGCAGCUCCUGGGAAGUGGGGUCCAGGGUCCUGACCGGGAAUCCGUGGUCGCUGCCCUGGAGGCUGCCGUAGGUUGAGGGCGUGUGAGCCCUGGGAUGGCUGGGGGAGUCUGAGGCGUGGUCGCACCACCUCCGCUAGCUGCUGCCUGCAGCCGGAGCCGCAGGCCCCCAUGUGGAACAUGAGUGUCUCCUUCAGAAGGAAGCUCACAACGCAGCAGUGUCACCAGCUGGAAAGGGCCCCAGAACCAAACUCCAUUUUCAAAACAGCCCAAGUAGAAGUCUGUUUUUCCACCUCACACCACUGCCCCCCCAUUGCCCCCACCCCGGAUUCAAACAUCAUGAUGGCCCUGGAGAGUGAAUCCUGUCCAGCCCUCAAGGCCAGCUCAUGUGCUGCCUCCUCAGUGAAGCUUUCGGCCGUUGAUGGGGAAGUGAGUUCAUCUGGCCAGUGUGCUUUCCCACACUCCUUUGGGCUCCUCUGGAGAAAUCUCUCGUCGCUUGUGGUCCUAGUAGUGCUGUCAGUCACAGCUCUGCCCCUGCCACAUGGUGGGCGUAUGACUCAGGCUGACCAAUCACAGGGUCCAACGCCCCCAGCCACAGAGAUUGCUUCAGGGAUGGGCAUGUGACUCAAAUAGGACAAAUCAGACUCUUCCCUGGGAUUGGUG
Molecule: long non-coding RNA, 1166 nt
Filed under: Equus caballus (horse)
Lineage: Eukaryota; Metazoa; Chordata; Mammalia; Perissodactyla; Equidae
Description: lncRNA (ENSECAG00000058828.1)
Source: RNAcentral